CCCCCGACACAUAACAGCUUUCGAACCAAACCUGUUCCUUCUUCCUUAAUGGCCACAAACAUCCUCCAAGCAAAAUGGAACCACCACUCCGAAGAAGACGAAGAUCACAAAGACAAUGAGCAACAAGAAGAAGAAGAAGAAGAUGAUGAAGCAUUGUCACUCUGCGAUCUUCCGAUCAACCUCGAGGACCCACCGGGAAACCAAGAACACUCUCGCCCCAACGAAACAUCGCAAGAAGAAUUCAAUUUCCGGUUAUGGCGUGCUCCCUUUAACAAAGAGCCCGAAAUGUGUGCAGCGGAUGAAGUCUUCUUCAAGGGCCAAAUCCUCCCGUUGCGCGUCUCGUUCAGCUCCGAGG
Molecule: unclassified non-coding RNA, 355 nt
Filed under: uncultured bacterium
Lineage: Bacteria
Description: contains 16S-23S intergenic spacer region
Source: RNAcentral